AUAGAAUAGGAAGGGGAACACUUUUUAAGACGCUAAAAAGGGCAAUAUAGUAAUUUUACCCCUGAAAUACAAUUGCCUCUUUCAUUGCCAUUGUCUGUUCGUGUAUACAAUUUGCCAAACUGGUGGCCUCCCUCAUCAUAAAUGGAGAAUUUGGAUGGUCUUCUCCUUCACAUACUCCUAUCUAAUUGGUAUAAGUGCAUCAAAUCCAUUUAGUGAGGUCGUUUCUGGUCUGAUUUCGAUUUGUCUUGAUGGAAAGAAUCAGUGUGAGCGUCUGAUCACUCAUCUAGGGUUAGGGUUCCGACUUCGUCUUCUUCGUUUGAUGGAUUCACUUCCUGCUGCUUCGGUUGCUCCGUUGAUGCCGCCAGCUGGAGGUCCCGUGAAAUGUAAUUGGACGGAGCAUACAUCUCCAAAUGGCAUACAUCUCCUGAUGGAUACAAGUACUACUACAACAGAACAACUGGUGAAAGCAAAUGGGAGAAACCAAAGGAGUUUCGUAUGGUUGCAUAUUUGUGUUUUAGACGAAUAACAUGAAGCCGAUUUCUUCAUCCGUAUGCGGACAACCAGGUCAGUGAAAUUUGAAUCGCCUUUUUGAAGGUGAUCUGAAUCAAUGGCCAAUUCCCUGGUCCUUGGCUUGAUGCUGUCACAAAUGUCUAGGUAAUGUUUUUUUCUGCAAAUUUCUAUCUACAAAAGCACUUCUUCCCAAUUUAUAUUCUAUCAAAGUAAGUAGAGAAUUUAGUUAAAUGGUAUGCAAGUUCCACAACUCUUCUUGUGAAAACAAUGAGAUUAUUUUUAUUGCUUAGUUAACAUAACUUCAUGGACAUAAUGCAGAAGCUACGAACUAAUGGAAAAGACUCUUAAGGUUUACAUAUACAAAGAAUGAGAUAAACCGAUAUUCCACCGGCCGGAGGCUAUGCUAACAGGAGUUUAUGCAUCCGAGGGAUGGUUCAUGAAGAAUAUCAAAGAAAGCAAAAAUUUUGUUACUGGUAACCCCGAAAAAGCCCAUCUAUUUUACAUUCCUUUUAGCUCUCGAGUAUUGCAAUUACAACUAUAUGUCCCCGGGUCUCAUAGUAAAAAGAACCUGCCAUAAUACUUGAAGAACUACGUUCAUCACAUGACAACGAGAUAUAAUUUUUGGAAUAGAACAGAAAAUAAAAAAUAUCUAUUAGAUUUAUUGAUUUUCUUUUGUUAUUUUUUUCUGAUGAUGGUUGGUUUUAUUGAGUGCAAAUUAAUGGAAAAAGUUGCUUCUGAUAAGUGUCACAAAUGGGUCUUCAAAGAACCUUCAGAAUGUGAUCAGAGCAUAUCUAACUAUUGGCAAAGUUCUUUUGAUGCUGUAUGAUUCUCCCACACACACUUACACCUUCAAACACACACACACACACACUUUACACUUUCUCUUAGGACUUGAUUUGUGUAAAAAAAACAUUUGCAUUUGGGUUCAUUUGGGUCGACUCAGAUUAUACAACGGGUCAAUUUGAUUCUGUUCGAAUCAAAUUACAACCAUAAGUUUGCAUUGCUGCAGUCAUUUUUCAAAACCACUUCUUACAGCAACCGAUGGUGCUGAUGAAAUUGCAAUUAAACGUGAAGAAAGGGAAAAUCUCGCUCUAAACCACAUCACAAAAUGCCAACGUGCUUUAGGUAGUAAUCUUCACAACCCGAUUGCUCGAUGGGAUACAAAAUUUAAAGCCGGUGCUAAAACAGGUUUGCUGCAACCUUUUUCACCGAUUGUGGUUGCUGCUGAGGAGGGUGAAUGUAUCAGGCCAGGGAACGAUUACUCUGAUCGAAGGAGAUUCCCAACAAAGCCAUAACAUUAAGCGCGGGGAACUCUUCUAUGUAUCCGUGUGAAUCACCAAGUAUCUAAUCAACAUCGACAACAACGGACGCCUUGUUUUGGCGAAGAUUCUACAUUCGGUCUUCGUCCCCGGUGAAUUGCAGCUCUUUAGCGUAGGAGGUGGUAACGCAGAGUCAUCAUUCUACAACGCGUUCAGUAUCGAAGUUCUAGAAGCUGCAUUUGGUGUUGAUCGCGAAUCGGCCCAUAAAAUGGUUGGGCAGCAGAAUACUGAGGAGCAAAUUAGAUCGUUGUCCGGAGAAGAUAAAAGUAGCCGUUGGCCUUUUGGCGACCGAAAAGGAAAGGGAAGGGGCACACAUAUGUACAAGAACGAACCAUCUGUGGCGAACGAGAACGUUACUGGACAAAUUACUUUCCGAUGAUUCUGUUUAUACUUGGAUUAGGAUUUCUUACGAGAUCACUGGCCAUUGUUGCAGCUGUGCCUACAACUCUCACAAUUGCUUUCUUAAAUGAUAGGCAUGUUGGCUUUAGUGUUUACCUUUGCGAUGUAUAUUGAUAUUUUACGGUAAUGAUGAUUGAACCACGGUGUGUAUGGUUAUUAACUUAUUACAGAGUUUUUCAAAAGUUCAAUGAUCGAUCC
This is a long non-coding RNA of Helianthus annuus (common sunflower), 2426 nucleotides long. RefSeq lists it as uncharacterized. The transcript has 9 exons. NCBI's taxonomy places the organism in Eukaryota, Viridiplantae, Streptophyta, Magnoliopsida, Asterales, Asteraceae. The record is from RefSeq and is a predicted model, not a curated record.